GGAAAUAUGCAUAAAUCAAAAACCAAUGACAAUAGCUUCAAAAGGACAUAUGCACAAUCAAAUUCAGAAAUUGAACAUUAACUUCAACAUUCAAAUAUAAGUCAUCAACCCCUCCAAUAUCCAUAAAUUCAAAUUUAUUAACUACAACCAAAAUAUAUAAAUUACAAAAUAAGUGCUACAAAAAAUCAAAAAAUUCAAUAUCCUAUAGACGCCAUCUCAAAAAAUUCAUAAACCUUCGAAAACAGACAGAGUAUCACUACUAGAAAUAAGGGCCUC
This 276-nucleotide long non-coding RNA is filed under the name Elaeis guineensis (African oil palm). RNAcentral's name for it is "long non-coding RNA (EGUI_LNC014853)". The record is from RNAcentral. Lineage: Eukaryota; Viridiplantae; Streptophyta; Magnoliopsida; Arecales; Arecaceae.